This 1427-nucleotide long non-coding RNA is filed under the name Homo sapiens (human). RNAcentral's name for it is "HSALNT0171679". The record is from RNAcentral. Lineage: Eukaryota; Metazoa; Chordata; Mammalia; Primates; Hominidae.
CUCUGCCUUUGCCUCUUUUAAAAAGUUCUAAGUUGCUGGCUAAUCAGGACAAAUACAGAAUGUGAGGUGCAGGGAGCUGAAGGCCCCUGGGAAGUGACCAACUCAGCAUUUCGCUGGAGGCUAUAGGAUCAAACAGCAAACUGUUUAUCAUGAAUGCAGGAUGUGGGCAAACUCACACUGCCCUGCCACCAAAAGGUUUGUUGAGGGCCUCACUCCCUGGCGCUGGGCUCCUUGAAGUUAUCUAUUGAGAAGUCUAGCACCUAAGAAUGCAGUCUUGCAAGCCUGCUGCGAAUCAAGCUGCUGGCCAACAACCACUCCCCACCUUCUCACUAUCUCUAUUGCCUAAUAAAUAUGGAGGGCAGUGUAAAGCUCAGGGCCCUUGUCCACUAGAGACAAGGUGCCCUCCGACCCCUUCUUCCAAAUAUACUCUUUUGCCUCUUGUCUUUUAUUCCCGUGUUUGCCCCCUUUGUUCAGUCCCCCUAGGUCCAUGCAGGUUACAUAGUGGUGCCCCAAACAGUGACACAAUUGGGUUCUCAACAAGUGGUGACUCAGAACAGGGACGCCAAGGAUGCCAACAAGUGGCGUCUGAACACGGGACUUCGACGAUGUGAACAAAAAAGAUCUGCUGGAGCAGAGAAGCUGAAAUUGACAAGGCAAACGGGGACCCCAGGAUGAGUCUGCCGGCAGCAUAUAUAAGGCAGGGACUAUAGGAAAUGAAGGUGAACUCGUGGAGAUUUUGGAGAGAAUUUAAUGAAGAGGCUGUUUACCAAGGAUCUCUCUCUGUCUCCGAGGCUGGAGUGCAAUGUUGCAAUCAGGGCUCACUGCAGCCUCGACCUCCUGGGCUCAACUGAUCUUCGUACCACAGCCUCAUGAGUAACUGGGACUACAGAUAGUAUCUCAUGAUAUGAAUGGUCCUGGAUUUACUUACACAUCCUCCUUUGGAUGAGCAAGACAACAACAUACCUGGACAGAAAUGCCUCGAGGAUGUACUGAAGGCCCCUCUCACUUUUCACAGCCAUAACUGUAAGUUUCCUGGGGCCUCUCCAGAAGACAAGCAGAUGCCGCUAUGCUUCCUGAACAGCCCACAGAACUAGAUGGGGUUUCACCAUGUUAGCCAGGAUGGUCUCGAUCUCCUGACCUCGUGAUCCACCCGCCUUGGCCUCCCAAAGUGCUGGGAUUACAGGUGUGAGCCACCGCGCCUCGCCAAUGGUCUUCUGGUUUUAGAAGAAGGUAAGAAUGAAACUUCUUUUAUCAUCAGCUUAACAUAAAGGUUGACAUUCUUAGAGAUAAUGGAGGAAGCUGAUACAAAAGAAAACCAGAAACUAAACCCAGAAUAUAAAAACAAUUCCAGACUCUUGGUAAGGGAGAAGCCUGCCCCACUGGAGAAUCAUAAAACAGAGAAUCCGCUAUACAAUUGAGGGUCAUAA